This 520-nucleotide unclassified non-coding RNA is filed under the name uncultured Glomeromycotina. RNAcentral describes it as "SSU rRNA". It matches the Rfam family "Eukaryotic small subunit ribosomal RNA", at positions 571 to 1092 of the family's 1831-position model. Lineage: Eukaryota; Fungi; Glomeromycota. The record is from RNAcentral.
CAGCCGCGGUAUUCCAGCUCCAAUAGCGUAUAUUAAAGUUGUUGCAGUUAAAAAGCUCGUAGUUGAAUUUCGGGAUCAAUGUUUCGGUCAUGCCGUUGGUAUGUACUGAUAUUAUUGGUUUCUCACCUUCUAAAGAACCGUAAUGCCAUUAAUUUGGUGUCACGGGGAAUUAGGACUGUUACCUUGAAAAAAUUAGAGUGUUUAAAGCAGGCUCACGCUUGAAUACAUUAGCAUGGAAUAAUGAAAUAGGACAUCCGAUUCUAUUUUGUUGGUUUCUAGGAUCGAUGUAAUGAUUAAUAGGGAUAGUUGGGGGCAUUAGUAUUCAAUUGUCAGAGGUGAAAUUCUUGGAUUUAUUGAAGACUAACUACUGCGAAAGCAUUUGCCAAGGAUGUUUUCAUUAAUCAAGAACGAAAGUUAGGGGAUCGAAGACGAUCAGAUACCGUCGUAGUCUUAACCAUAAACUAUGCCGACUAGGGAUCGGAUGAUGUUAAUUUUUUAAUGACUCAUUCGGCGCCUUACG